AUACGUAGGGAGCAAACGUUGUCCGGAUUUAUUGGGCGUAAAGGGCUCGUAGGCGGUUCAACAAGUCGGUCGUGAAAGCCCGGGGCUCAACCCCGGGACGCCGGUCGAAACUGUUGUGACUAGAGUUCGGUAGAGGUGAGUGGAAUUCUCGGUGUAGCGGUGGAAUGCGCAGAUAUCGAGAGGAACACCAUUAGCGAAGGCGGCUCACUGGGCCGAUACUGACGCUGAGGAGCGAAAGCGUGGGGAGCAAACAGGAUUAGAAACCCGAGUAGUCC
This 275-nucleotide ribosomal RNA is filed under the name uncultured bacterium. RNAcentral describes it as "partial 16S ribosomal RNA". It matches the Rfam family "Bacterial small subunit ribosomal RNA", at positions 523 to 796 of the family's 1533-position model. The record is from RNAcentral.